UACGAACCGUCCAAACGUUAUUCGGAUUCAUUGGGCUUAAAGGGUACGUAGGCGGCGCUAUCAGUCGGGUGUGAAAGCCCUCGGCUCAACCGAGGAACUGCGCCCGAUACUGUAGUGCUUGAGGGAGACAGAGGUAAGCGGAACUGAUGGUGGAGCGGUGAAAUGCGUUGAUAUCAUCAGGAACACCGGUGGCGAAAGCGGCUUACUGGGUCUCUUCUGACGCUGAGGUACGAAAGCUAGGGGAGCGAACGGG
RNAcentral lists this ribosomal RNA (253 nucleotides) under uncultured bacterium. Its description in RNAcentral is "partial 16S ribosomal RNA". It matches the Rfam family "Bacterial small subunit ribosomal RNA", at positions 524 to 776 of the family's 1533-position model. The record is from RNAcentral.